This 242-nucleotide long non-coding RNA is filed under the name Elaeis guineensis (African oil palm). Its description in RNAcentral is "long non-coding RNA (EGUI_LNC045870)". Lineage: Eukaryota; Viridiplantae; Streptophyta; Magnoliopsida; Arecales; Arecaceae. The record is from RNAcentral.
GGACCAAGAGUUGAGCCCAAAUCAUAAUCCAAUGCUAGUUGGCCCAAAAGUUGGACCAGGAACACAAGCACACCCUAGAUGGGCCAAGGGUCUAUAAAAUUAAACAUCAUAAUUCAUUUGUGACAUAUGUAUGAAUGAUAUCAUAAUUAGAAUAACAUAAGUAGUUUAAUUUUAUGCUUUAUAUAAAUAUUAUCGAUUGCAUGAUGGAUGGUUAUCGACUAAAAGGACCCAUAUGAUGAAUG